Molecule: ribosomal RNA, 405 nt
Filed under: uncultured bacterium
Lineage: Bacteria
Description: partial 16S ribosomal RNA
Rfam family: Bacterial small subunit ribosomal RNA
Source: RNAcentral
GACGAACGCUGGCGGCGCGCUUAACACAUGCAAGUCGAGCGAAGCGGCGGACGGGUGAGUAACACGUGAGUAACCUGCCUUGGACAUUGGGAUAGCCUCGGGAAACCGGGAUUAAUACCAAAUGGUCUAAGAUGGACUCGCGUCCCAUUAGCUAGUUGGUGGGUAACGGCCCACCAAGGCGACGAGGGGUAGUCGGCCUGGAGGGGGGAACGGCAACAUUGGAACUGGGAAACGGUCCAAACUCUACGGGGGGCAGCAGUGGGGAAUAUUGCACAAUGGGGGGAACUCUGAGGCAGCGACGCCGUGUGAACGAAGAAGGCUUUGGAGUCGUAAAGUUCUUUAUAUGGGAAGCGGUACCAUAAGAAAAAGCCCCGGCUAACUACGUGCCAGCCGCCGCGGUAAUUC